UGCCCCCGACCCGCAUGGCUAUCCUUACGUUCUGAUGCUAUGAAAUAUUAAUGAUUCGAGAGAUUACGAGGCAUUCAUUAGAUGCUAAAUGUCAUUACUCCGUGAUUUAAUGGGACUUAUUAAUUAGCGCCCCACAUCAAUCGGCAUUAAGGUGAUUUAUCUGCCUCCGAUGGAAUGGCAUCUGUGAAGGUGGCGUGAGACGCUGCUGCCUUGCUCGUUUUCCUGGCUGUUCCUGCUCACCAUCUUCAGGGGGUCUUUUUCUAUGGAAGAGCAUUACCUCUUCCGAGAUAUUCGGUUCACAGAUAGAUCCCGUAAGCAAAUCUUGGUCAUAUCAGAACCCCAUGUCCUUUUCUGUUGACCUGACAAUGUGAAUUAUUGCUUGGAUUUUCUCACAGCUUCAGCAAGAACUGUGGUGAGCUCUGGGUCUAAUUAAGGAAGACAAAGAAUUACAAUUUUAGUGUUUUUCUCACCAUCAGCUUUCCCUUAACAGGAAACACUAAACCCAGUAGAGGCAGCUUUAUCAGGAUUUAUGAAAAAUGAUGGGACUUAGAAGGUUUCUUUUAUUUAUAUUCUGUAAUAGGUGUAAGAUCAUAGAUCUUUCCAGAUAGACUGAGUCCUUUUAACUGUGCGUCCAGUAGGCAUUCAAAAUUAACUUAGGAUGCCCUGGGUCUUUUUAUAUUUUUUCUUUAAACGAAAAAGUAUCUCAAGGUAGUUACUACGAAUCUGGAGAGUCUCAGAGAUUGCCAGCCCUUUAGUGUGUCUUCAUUCCUUUAUCAUGUCCUCACCUGAGGUACUCCAAGACACAAAUACUCAGCCAUGUUUCAUAGUCACAUGAUCAUCGUCACAAUACCCCUCUCCCCAAGUGAAGGAAGACAGCAGGAAACCUUCUCAGUCGCUGCUCUGGGACUUAAAAGAACAUAGUGUUCUGCCUCCUUUCCCUAGCUGGAACUCUUUGAUCACACUCUUCUUAGAAACUAGCAUCAUCCUUGGGGUCCAUUGACGUCUCUGUUUAAAAUCAAGCUCAGCAUAUAAUCUAAAGGUUACUCCAUGAUGGAUUGCCUUUGACAGUGUUUCAUAAAAAAUGUCACACAUUACAAAUAUGGGCCAGCAGUGUGUAAUGAGAGCGCUGCCUCUGCUGGUUCUGCAUUAACGGCGUCGGAGGAAAGUGACGUGUGAUGUGUGUCCUGGCUUUGCUACAGCAGCUGCACAUUGCCUCGUCCCCGUUUUCAACAUUCCGCUGUUGGAUAUUUCCAGUGAUGAAUUAUCAGCCACCAACCACUGCUGCUAGGGAGUGAGGAAUGCAGAGAUGAGAAAACAGUUCCUAUCUUCACCUUGUUUCCAACCUGGUAGCAAGAAAAACAGAAACAAAAACAAAACCCCUUGCACAGAACUAGAUGCAAGUGCUGCUGCAGAUAUGUAAACAAAGUGUUUCGGGAAGGUGAACAGUAGAAAGACUAACUGCCUGGGGACGGGGACGCAGGUGGGCUGCGGAGAGGCAACUGAGUUAGUUCUCCAAGGAUGGAUUCCAUUUCGCCAAGAAAAUAAUAUCAGCGAUAUUAGCAUUGCGUUCAGGCUGGAUACAGAGGGGUGGAACUAGGAAGCUAAGCCAGAAGACAGUUCCAGAUCAAGUGCCCCAGUGCAUCCUUCACAAAACAGCCAUGUCUCGAAGCGACAGACAGAAAUCUGGAGGAUUUCCACCUGGGAAUUUCACUGCAUUGAACUCGCCGUGUCCAAACCUCAAGCUUGUCUUUCCCCACGUUAUAGCUGCCCCUCCCAACCUCUCUUUCUCUCCUCCUGACAAUUCACAUAAGCCACUUAAAUUCAGUAUUUCAGAACUUUCCAGGUUGUUCAGCUUUUUCCUUUGAAGUGUCAAUUUCAUGGAUCCUUAUCUAUUGCCACAGCUGUAUCACCUCACCUCUGGAUUGGCCUAACAGUGCCCUCCUUGGUGCCCAGCACUUCCCGCAGUCACCACAGGUACUGUUGCCAGCGCAUCUCCUCGGCGUCUCUUUCUUUCUGUCACCUUCCAUUUCCUACUUUUUAGGAUAGAGAGAAUAAUUCGCUACAUUCCCUAGAGUCCCUCAUUUGUUGCUGAUAAGUGUUCCCACAGCAUUUAAAUGUCCCAACUGAUAUAUUGGCCAUGUUUAAAUAUUUAGAGAGCAAAACACUUUUGCCUUCCUCAAACACGUUUGUCAUAAUAUCUGAGUGCCAUAUGACAUAGAUCAAAUUUAUUAUUAGAGUCAGAAGUUCUUACACAGACAUUUCCUUAUAAAAAGGUCUACACACACACACACACACACACACACACACUCCUCCACAUAUUCCAGAACUAUGAUGCAAUGACAAUGAUUUAUUGACACAUCAAUGCUAAUCUAAGACCACUGGCCAUAAAAAUUCUAAGAGACUUUCACCUUUCUGUAAUAGUGCCUAGAUUCCAAGCACCACCCUUCCUUAUUUUGAACACUUGGGUUAAGCCCGUGUCAUUUAACCAAAACUAG
Meriones unguiculatus (Mongolian gerbil) is the source of this 2495-nucleotide long non-coding RNA. RefSeq lists it as uncharacterized. The record is from RefSeq and is a predicted model, not a curated record. The transcript has 3 exons. Lineage: Eukaryota; Metazoa; Chordata; Mammalia; Rodentia; Muridae.